This 1214-nucleotide ribosomal RNA is filed under the name Acinetobacter baumannii. RNAcentral describes it as "bacterial SSU rRNA". It matches the Rfam family "Bacterial small subunit ribosomal RNA", at positions 26 to 1236 of the family's 1533-position model. The record is from RNAcentral. Lineage: Bacteria; Pseudomonadati; Pseudomonadota; Gammaproteobacteria; Moraxellales; Moraxellaceae.
AGAUUGACGCUGGCGGCAGGCUUAACACAUGCAAGUCGAGCGGGGGAAGGUAGCUUGCUACCGGACCUAGCGGCGGACGGGUGAGUAAUGCUUAGGAAUCUGCCUAUUAGUGGGGGACAACAUCUCGAAAGGGAUGCUAAUACCGCAUACGUCCUACGGGAGAAAGCAGGGGAUCUUCGGACCUUGCGCUAAUAGAUGAGCCUAAGUCGGAUUAGCUAGUUGGUGGGGUAAAGGCCUACCAAGGCGACGAUCUGUAGCGGGUCUGAGAGGAUGAUCCGCCACACUGGGACUGAGACACGGCCCAGACUCCUACGGGAGGCAGCAGUGGGGAAUAUUGGACAAUGGGGGGAACCCUGAUCCAGCCAUGCCGCGUGUGUGAAGAAGGCCUUAUGGUUGUAAAGCACUUUAAGCGAGGAGGAGGCUACUUUAGUUAAUACCUAGAGAUAGUGGACGUUACUCGCAGAAUAAGCACCGGCUAACUCUGUGCCAGCAGCCGCGGUAAUACAGAGGGUGCGAGCGUUAAUCGGAUUUACUGGGCGUAAAGCGUGCGUAGGCGGCUUAUUAAGUCGGAUGUGAAAUCCCCGAGCUUAACUUGGGAAUUGCAUUCGAUACUGGUGAGCUAGAGUAUGGGAGAGGAUGGUAGAAUUCCAGGUGUAGCGGUGAAAUGCGUAGAGAUCUGGAGGAAUACCGAUGGCGAAGGCAGCCAUCUGGCCUAAUACUGACGCUGAGGUACGAAAGCAUGGGGAGCAAACAGGAUUAGAUACCCUGGUAGUCCAUGCCGUAAACGAUGUCUACUAGCCGUUGGGGCCUUUGAGGCUUUAGUGGCGCAGCUAACGCGAUAAGUAGACCGCCUGGGGAGUACGGUCGCAAGACUAAAACUCAAAUGAAUUGACGGGGGCCCGCACAAGCGGUGGAGCAUGUGGUUUAAUUCGAUGCAACGCGAAGAACCUUACCUGGCCUUGACAUACUAGAAACUUUCCAGAGAUGGAUUGGUGCCUUCGGGAAUCUAGAUACAGGUGCUGCAUGGCUGUCGUCAGCUCGUGUCGUGAGAUGUUGGGUUAAGUCCCGCAACGAGCGCAACCCUUUUCCUUACUUGCCAGCAUUUCGGAUGGGAACUUUAAGGAUACUGCCAGUGACAAACUGGAGGAAGGCGGGGACGACGUCAAGUCAUCAUGGCCCUUACGGCCAGGGCUACACACGUGCUACAAUGGUCG